Oncorhynchus tshawytscha (Chinook salmon) is the source of this 1198-nucleotide long non-coding RNA. The record is from Ensembl. Lineage: Eukaryota; Metazoa; Chordata; Actinopteri; Salmoniformes; Salmonidae.
GUGGGUACUUGCAACUAGAGUUGGUGCUGACACAAGUGCUACAGUUGGGGCUGACUCUUAAGGCCCAAGUUAGAUGCAGUCUGUUCCAGUCCUAGUCCCUCUGCAUGUCUAGGGCCUUAAGCGGGCAGAGUCUGGUGACCAGGUGGGGGGUCUCCUCUCCACCUGUCGAAUGAGCGCUGUCAGCAUUGGGGGGUACCACGGUCUGCGGGUGGGCUCGGCCCUGCUCAGCAUCGUGGCGGGGUGCAUCAUUAUCGGGGUGUCGAGGGAGUGUGAUGCGGAUGCCGUAGGGGGAAUCUUCCUCGGUGCGGGGGGGCUGGGCCUCCUCAUUGCUGUCUUCCCCUUCAUAAGAGCCUGGCUCAACAUUAACAACAUUCUCCCCACCUUGGGAACCUUCAGAGUGCACCCUAUGCCUGCUAACCCUCCUGGCCCUGAGCAACCAGAGACACUGAAACGAGAAGCGACUCAGAGCCAGCUGAAUCUGGAGCGCUCUAAGAGCCGGAUGGGGACAUUUGUUGAUGCCGGACCGAUGGCUGAGGCCUCCGCAGAUGAGGGGACAUCCUCAGACAUGCCAGACAUCUUGUCCAGACGAAAGUUCAAGCAGACCCUCCCUGAUCCAGACCUCCCGUAAAUUGGUUUUAUAGCAGCCACACAGCACACAUCUCUCGUACACGCCUACCCUCAAAUGGACUUCACAAGUUGGUGAAUCAGAUGUUUACUUACUUCAACAAUACAAUUCAAAAGCUACAUACUGUGCCUUCUCCUAACUAUCGAGAGGAGUACAUAUUUUCUUCCACAAUGUCUCAUUUUAUUAGCAAUAUUAUUUGUGUGUGUGUGUGUGUGACUCAAGUAAUAUGAUAUUUUACUUUUGAAAAGAGCCAACAACUACAGACUAAACUCAAAUAAAGCCUACGACUUCAUGGAAAAAUAAACCUGGUAAAAAUCUCACAGCCUUCACAAACCAAUACACGCUAUAAAGAUACAAAUGCAUUUGUUAGAUACAACAAUGCAACUUAAUUUUAAAAGCUUCUAUAAAAAUCUAUGUAAAUCAGAAUUUAACAACAGCUGGACUGAUCCUACAGCCUUGGUAGGCACAAUAACCCUGAAGCAAAUAUCAGCAGAUUAAAAAAUAAUCACAAAAAAAAUGAAAUCAACCAAAAAUAAAUAUUAGACACUCUUAAAAAAUAUAUGUAUUAAACAC